This 264-nucleotide ribosomal RNA is filed under the name Triticum aestivum (bread wheat). RNAcentral describes it as "partial small subunit ribosomal RNA". The record is from RNAcentral. Lineage: Eukaryota; Viridiplantae; Streptophyta; Magnoliopsida; Poales; Poaceae.
ACUGUUGGCAAUGGGGCUUCUUGCCGCUUUUGGAUCGACCCGUGGCUUGAGGGCAACUCUAUCUCGACCCUAGCUCCUGCUUUGGUGGCCCUUGUCCCGGUCAGAAGGCCGCGUACCCGUACGAUUGCCAUGGCUCUCAUUGGCCGUACGUGGAUCUCAGACAUACAGGAAUCAGUUGGUCCGGCGGCCAUUCUGGAGUACAUCGAGAUCUGGCGCAAGCUACAGCGUGUGGCCCUUUCCUCCCAGCCCGAUAUCCUUCGUUAG